UGGUCUUUGUGCGUCCAUUGGUUCUUU
RNAcentral lists this non-coding RNA (27 nucleotides) under Mus musculus (house mouse). Lineage: Eukaryota; Metazoa; Chordata; Mammalia; Rodentia; Muridae. The record is from RNAcentral.